UACGGGGGGAGCAAGCGUUGUUCGGAUUUACUGGGCGUAAAGGGCGCGUAGGCGGUCAGCACAAGUCAGUUGUGAAAUCUCCGGGCUUAACUCGGAAAGGUCAACUGAUACUGUGCGACUAGAGUGCAGAAGGGGCAACUGGAAUUCUCGGUGUAGCGGUAAAAUGCGUAGAUAUCGAGAGGAACACCUGCGGCGAAGGCGGGUUGCUGGGCUGACACUGACGCUGAUGCGCGAAAGCCAGGGGAGCGAACGGG
Molecule: ribosomal RNA, 254 nt
Filed under: uncultured bacterium
Lineage: Bacteria
Description: partial 16S ribosomal RNA
Rfam family: Bacterial small subunit ribosomal RNA
Source: RNAcentral